GCGGAAGUAGCUCACCUGGUAGAGCGACAGCUUCCCAAGCUGUAGGUAGCCGGUUCGAGUCCGGUCUUCCGCUCAA
This 76-nucleotide transfer RNA is filed under the name Niabella drilacis. RNAcentral describes it as "tRNA_Gly_CCC". It matches the Rfam family "tRNA". Rfam says of the family: Transfer RNA (tRNA) molecules are approximately 80 nucleotides in length. Their secondary structure includes four short double-helical elements and three loops (D, anti-codon, and T loops). The record is from RNAcentral. Lineage: Bacteria; Pseudomonadati; Bacteroidota; Chitinophagia; Chitinophagales; Chitinophagaceae.